This is a long non-coding RNA of Gasterosteus aculeatus aculeatus (three-spined stickleback), 1901 nucleotides long. NCBI's taxonomy places the organism in Eukaryota, Metazoa, Chordata, Actinopteri, Perciformes, Gasterosteidae. The record is from Ensembl.
UUUAAACAUUAUGGUUAACGAUGGGAAAAAAACCUACAUCAAAUCUGACGAGAUUUAUUCAUCUGUUCAUGAAAUAAAGAACUUUGUCAUCGAAGCACUUUUGUCAAAAAACGUAAAACAUUAUUGAAAAUGACCUCAUUUUCUGAGGGAGGAGCCUGAAAGACGAAGUAUUAAAUAAAUAGUUGUCAUGGUGACGUGACAUCAUCUUCACACCAUUUAAUAUUUAAUAUAUCUAUAUAUAUAUGUGUCCCGGAGCUCAGCGGGGGGCUUAUUGAUUAAGACUGACGUAUCCAUUCAUGCUUCAUAGUCACACGCCAUGUGGGAGGAACACACUAUUUCACCCAAGGAUGCUGAGUGGACAUUUGUUCUACUAUUACACUUUUUGCAUUAACUUUAUUUAGUUAUUACUAUUAUUUUAUUCAUUCAAAGUAAAAAAUGACCAUAAUGGAAGUUGUUAAUCUAUAAAUGAGAACAGGAAGAAGCAGCAGAGAAUUAACUUUUGAGCAUUUGCAUUUAUUUUGGAACAAAUGUGAUGCGUCAUAAAGCGGAACGUUCAUUGCAGACGGGGGGAUGAAUGCAUAUCGCAUACAAAAUAUGUACUCAUUGAUUUAGUUAAUAUUGAACGCUGCACAUUAACACGCAAUAACAUCUGGAUCAAAAGAAGCUUCCUUUUCUGAAACACUAUCACGGAGAAGGAAUCGUCUUUGUCGGGGACUCAUGAUCCGACCGCCCACCUGCUGUGAAACAUGGACCACCUUGUGAUUGACAGGUCAACUGUAACUCACAGCGAUUGCUCGACAUCCGCGGUUGGUGCUGGCAACCAAGCAGCCUUCUGUGGUUGCCAUGGGAACCUGGAACUGCUUCCCAUCCAGAUGCAGGGGCCCAGCCACACCUACUGGUACGGGAAUGUAGCCAAUCACAUUCUCACAGCAGGUGCCCAUAACCUGGAAACCAGAAAUGAUGUCAAACAGGAAGCAGGGUGUGUGUGUGUGUGUGUGUGCGUGUGUGUUUCCUCACCUUGGAGUAAUCGUAGUCAGCGUACGGCAGGCUGGACAGCGCGGAGGGGGAGGGCAGCUUGGCGGCGAUCAUCUGUCUACGUAUGGCCACGCCCCUCUCUGCUUUCUCCAUCAUGGCCUCCAGUUUGUACGCCGGGAUGUGCUUGGAGUUCACCAGCUGCACCACCUCAGCGUCACUCAGGAAACGGGCCCCCAGCUGCAACAGCCAGGCAAACAUGUCCCGUUAUCACGUCAACAGUUUGUGUCCUGUGGAGCUGUAAUCAGAAGGGCCGUCCCAGGGGUGACUAAGCUCAUUAGGGCGCCGCUAAAUCACACAACUGCCUCCAGGCGGCAAUCGCAUUAGUGGACAGGACAGCUAAGUGCGGGCGAUGAUGUCACCCUCAGGUUAGCCGACUUAUCGGCCUCACCUCGGGGUUGUUGAUGAUGGCCACACACGCGUCCAGGUCUCUGGGCCCCGGCAGGACGCUCGGCUGCUCCUCCUCAGCCUCCCGCUCCUCGUCCCCCUCCACGAAGAAGCUCUUUGGCUGUGGCCCCGCGGCCGGGGCGGACAGGGGGCGGAUGACCUCAUCUGGGGGGACAAGGCAGAGCUGGAGAGCACACUUCCACACAAGCCCUUCUGCCACGGCGCCGGCGCCCGACGCACCUCUCUCUGACUCGAUGGUGGGCGCCGGGGCGGGGGAGAGGGCCCGGGGGGGACACGCCUCCUUCCUGCAGCAGGUGUCGGCGGGCCGCCGCGGGGUCAGGGGCGGGGCGGACAUGGUGAUGGGGUUCUUCAGCGACAGAGUGGACUCCAUCUCGGCCUGCUCGAAGAAGAUGUACUUGAUAGCCAGCAGCAGGGCCAGGGCGAGGCAGACCACCUGCUCCACGUCCAUGGUGAUCAUCCUG